GAAGUAAAACUUUUCAAAAUAUGUUGCCAUGGUCACAUGGCCUAAGAGAAAAUCCAUUUCUCCAUUUCUUUUUUUUCAGUUGUUUGGCAGGGGUAGUAGAGAAACACGGUCAACCACAUAACCAAGGACACACUUUGUUUCAUAUGCCAAUAGUCUUAAAGUAGAUUGUACAAGCAGUGGCCACGAAGAAUGAGCAUGCUUUCCUCGCCAGCAGUUAGAAGAAACUCCAGUGUGAAGACUACUGGAAUUCCAUUCUUUAACAAAGAAAAUAAAGCCCCUACCCCUCAAAACUCAAAAGAAGAAAUGCAAAAUUACUAACAAAUGAAAUAUAGGGCGUACAGUGUUCUGUGUCCAUACUUAUUUGUAAAUUUUUAAGCAUUUUAGUCUUCUUUACAUUUGAAACAAAGAGUGUUCACCAAAAGCAAGUAAAUCUAGCAGAACUACUUAUGGAAAUGGUAACCGAAAAGAAAACAAAAAGGAAAUGGUAACUGUCUCAACUAUGGGAGACAUUGAUGAGACUAUAAAAUAAUACUAAACAUCUCGUCUAAUCCUGUACAACACUACGUAUUUCAAGUCUAUUAAAUUGCUUUCCGGUACUUUUCAAUAGAC
This is a long non-coding RNA of Canis lupus familiaris (dog), 609 nucleotides long. RefSeq lists it as uncharacterized. The transcript has 2 exons. NCBI's taxonomy places the organism in Eukaryota, Metazoa, Chordata, Mammalia, Carnivora, Canidae. The record is from RefSeq and is a predicted model, not a curated record.